RNAcentral lists this transfer RNA (74 nucleotides) under Alosa alosa (allis shad). Its description in RNAcentral is "tRNA-OTHER". The record is from RNAcentral. Lineage: Eukaryota; Metazoa; Chordata; Actinopteri; Clupeiformes; Clupeidae.
GCAGAUGUGGCCUACUGGUUAGGGCUUCGGGAUCGUAACCGAAGGGUUGCGGGUUCGAUCCCAGACCAGUAGUA